AUUGAACGCUGGCGGCAGGCCUAACACAUGCAAGUCGAACGGUAACAGGAAGAAGUUUGCUUCUUUGCUGACGAGUGGCGGACGGGUGAGUAAUGUCUGGGAAACUGCCUGAUGGAGGGGGAUAACUACUGGAAACGGUAGCUAAUACCGCAUAACGUCGCAAGACCAAAAAGGGGGACCUUCGGGCCUCUUGCCAUCGGAUGUGCCCAGAUGGGAUUAGCUAGUAGGUGGGGUAACGGCUCACCUAGGCGACGAUCCCUAGCUGGUCUGAGAGGAUGACCAGCCACACUGGAACUGAGACACGGUCCAGACUCCUACGGGAGGCAGCAGUGGGGAAUAUUGCACAAUGGGCGCAAGCCUGAUGCAGCCAUGCCGCGUGUAUGAAGAAGGCCUUCGGGUUGUAAAGUACUUUCAGCGGGGAGGAAGGGAGUAAAGUUAAUACCUUUGCUCAUUGACGUUACCCGCAGAAGAAGCACCGGCUAACUCCGUG
This 490-nucleotide ribosomal RNA is filed under the name uncultured bacterium. RNAcentral describes it as "partial 16S ribosomal RNA". It matches the Rfam family "Bacterial small subunit ribosomal RNA", at positions 30 to 507 of the family's 1533-position model. The record is from RNAcentral.